GGUUGUCGUCAGCUCGUGUCGUGAGAUGGUUGGGUUAAGUCCCGCAACGAGCGCAACCCUUUGUGUUUUAGUUGCAAACAGGUCAAGCUGUGCACUCUAGACAGACUGCCGUGGACAACACGGAGGAAGGUGGGGAUGACGUCAAAUCAUCAUGCCCCUUAUGAUCUGGGCUACACACGUGCUACAAUGGCCGGUACAACGGGCAGCGAAGGAGCGAUCCGGAGCGAAUCCUAAAAAGCCGGUCCCAGUUCGGAUUGCAGGCUGAAACUCGCCUACAUGAAGUUGGAGUUGCUAGUAAUCGCGAAUCAGAAUGUCGCGGUGAAUGCGUUCCCGGGUCUU
This 339-nucleotide ribosomal RNA is filed under the name uncultured Fusibacter sp. RNAcentral's name for it is "bacterial SSU rRNA". It matches the Rfam family "Bacterial small subunit ribosomal RNA", at positions 1047 to 1382 of the family's 1533-position model. Lineage: Bacteria; Bacillati; Bacillota; Clostridia; Eubacteriales; Fusibacteraceae. The record is from RNAcentral.